CCUACGGGACGCAGCAGUGGGGAAUAUUGGGCAAUGGGCGCAAGCCUGACCCAGCAACGCCGCGUGAAGGAAGAAGGCGUUCGGGUUGUAAAAUUCUUUUAUCAGGGACGAAGAAAGUGACGGUACCUGAUGAAUAAGCCACGGCUAACUACGUGUAAGCAGCCGCGGUAAUACGUAGGUGGCAAGCGUUAUCAGGAUUUACUGGGUGUAAAGGGCGUGGAGGCGGGGGGGGAAGGCAGAUGUGAA
This 246-nucleotide ribosomal RNA is filed under the name uncultured bacterium. RNAcentral describes it as "partial 16S ribosomal RNA". It matches the Rfam family "Bacterial small subunit ribosomal RNA", at positions 338 to 598 of the family's 1533-position model. The record is from RNAcentral.